Molecule: transfer RNA, 85 nt
Filed under: Felis catus (domestic cat)
Lineage: Eukaryota; Metazoa; Chordata; Mammalia; Carnivora; Felidae
Rfam family: tRNA
About the family: Transfer RNA (tRNA) molecules are approximately 80 nucleotides in length. Their secondary structure includes four short double-helical elements and three loops (D, anti-codon, and T loops).
Source: Rfam by way of RNAcentral
GCCUGGGUGGCUCAGUGGGUUGAGCGUCCGACUUCUGCUCAGGUCAUGAUCUCUCAGUUCGUGGGUUCGAGCCCCAUGUCGGGCC